This 566-nucleotide small RNA is filed under the name Pan troglodytes (chimpanzee). RNAcentral's name for it is "processed transcript". The record is from RNAcentral. Lineage: Eukaryota; Metazoa; Chordata; Mammalia; Primates; Hominidae.
UACGGAUCCUGAUUGUGGAUUGGGAUGUCCACCACGGUAAUGGAACUCAGCACAUGUUUGAGGAUGACCCCAGUUUAACCCAGAACUGGUGCUGGUCUCAGCUGGCUUUGAUGCUGCACGGGGGGACCCGCUGGGGGGCUGCCAGGUGUCACCUGAGGGUUAUGCCCACCUCACCCACCUGCUGAUGGGCCUUGCCAGUGGCCGCAUUAUCCUUAUCCUAGAGGGUGGCUAUAACCUGACAUCCAUCUCAGAGUCCAUGGCUGCCUGCACUCGCUCCCUCCUUGGAGACCCACCACCCCUGCUGACCCUGCCACGGCCCCCACUAUCAGGGGCCCUGGCCUCAAUCACUGAGACCAUCCAAGUCCAUCGCAGAUACUGGCGCAGCUUACGGGUCAUGAAGGUAGAAGACAGAGAAGGACCCUCCAGUUCUAAGUUGGUCACCAAGAAGGCACCCCAACCAGCCAAACCUAGGUUAGCUGAGCGGAUGACCACACGAGAAAAGAAGGUUCUGGAAGCAGGCAUGGGGAAAGUCACCUCGGCAUCAUUUGGGGAAGAGUCCACUCCAG